CCCGGUGUCGACAGCGCGAGGGCCACACCCGUUCCCAUUCCGAACACGGACGUUAAGCCUCGCUGCGGCGAUGGUACUGCGGGGGCAACUCCGUGGGAGAGUAGCGCGAUGCCGGGU
Molecule: ribosomal RNA, 117 nt
Filed under: Candidatus Sumerlaeia bacterium
Lineage: Bacteria; Candidatus Sumerlaeota; Candidatus Sumerlaeia
Source: RNAcentral